AUACGGAGUUACAAAGGACGACAUUAGACGAAUCAUCUGGAAAGAUGAAUCAAAGAAGGUAAUAAUCCUGUAGUCGAAAAUGUUGUCUCUCUUGAGUGGAUCCUGAGUACGACGGAGCACGUGAAAUUCCGUCGGAAUCUGGGAGGACCAUCUCCUAAGGCUAAAUACUCUCUAGUGACCGAUAGUGAACCAGUACCGUGAGGGAAAGGUGAAAAGCACCCCGGAAGGGGAGUGAAAUAGAACCUGAAACCGUGUGCUUACAAGUAGUCAGAGCCCGUUAAUGGGUGAUGGCGUGCCUUUUGUAGAAUGAACCGGCGAGUUACGAUUUGAUGCAAGGUUAAGCAGUAAAUGUGGAGCCGUAGCGAAAGCGAGUCUGAAUAGGGCGUUUAGUAUUUGGUCGUAGACCCGAAACCAGGUGAUCUACCCUUGGUCAGGUUGAAGUUCAGGUAACACUGAAUGGAGGACCGAACCGACUUACGUUGAAAAGUGAGCGGAUGAACUGAGGGUAGCGGAGAAAUUCCAAUCGAACCUGGAGAUAGCUGGUUCUCUCCGAAAUAGCUUUAGGGCUAGCCUCAAGUGAUGAUUAUUGGAGGUAGAGCACUGUUUGGACGAGGGGCCCCUCUCGGGUUACCGAAUUCAGACAAACUCCGAAUGCCAAUUAAUUUAACUUGGGAGUCAGAACAUGGGUGAUAAGGUCCGUGUUCGAAAGGGAAACAGCCCAGACCACCAGCUAAGGUCCCAAAAUAUAUGUUAAGUGGAAAAGGAUGUGGCGUUGCCCAGACAACUAGGAUGUUGGCUUAGAAGCAGCCAUCAUUUAAAGAGUGCGUAAUAGCUCACUAGUCGAGUGACACUGCGCCGAAAAUGUACCGGGGCUAAACAUAUUACCGAAGCUGUGGAUUGUCCUUUGGACAAUGGUAGGAGAGCGUUCUAAGGGCGUUGA
RNAcentral lists this ribosomal RNA (940 nucleotides) under Staphylococcus aureus. RNAcentral's name for it is "partial 23S ribosomal RNA". It matches the Rfam family "Bacterial large subunit ribosomal RNA", at positions 307 to 1253 of the family's 2925-position model. Lineage: Bacteria; Bacillati; Bacillota; Bacilli; Caryophanales; Staphylococcaceae. The record is from RNAcentral.